CACACCCCAAUACUUCUGGAAUGAAUCUGCAACUUAAGAAAACCCUCAGUUAGAGGAACCCAGAUCCUAGCAGAACACCUGGCAUAGCUCACUAAACGUUGACUCUAAUGUGAUCUUCCUGUGUUAAAACAGCGUGGGAUAAGCCAGCCUUAACCUUUUAUUACACAAGUUGCCCUGGACCCCAUCAAAGAAGGAAGGGGGAGGCUUCCACUUUCAGAAUUCAGGGUGCAGUGAGCUGUGCCCAGAUG
Lemur catta (Ring-tailed lemur) is the source of this 248-nucleotide long non-coding RNA. RefSeq lists it as uncharacterized. Lineage: Eukaryota; Metazoa; Chordata; Mammalia; Primates; Lemuridae. The transcript has 4 exons. The record is from RefSeq and is a predicted model, not a curated record.